RNAcentral lists this long non-coding RNA (1221 nucleotides) under Oncorhynchus kisutch (coho salmon). RNAcentral describes it as "lncRNA (ENSOKIG00005018972.1)". Lineage: Eukaryota; Metazoa; Chordata; Actinopteri; Salmoniformes; Salmonidae. The record is from RNAcentral.
CUCUUGUGUCAAUCUAAUUACAUAAUAAAUCAGUCCCCAUCAAAAUCAGUCAGUUUAAUCUACAGAUAUCAGUCUCAGUCCCCAUCAAAAUCAGUCAGUUUAAGCUACAGACUUCAGUCUCAGUCCCCAUCAAAAUCAGUCAGUUUAAUCUACAGAUUUCAGUCUCAGUCCCCAUCAAAAUCAGUCAGUUUAAUCUACAGAUAUCAGUCUCAGUCCCCAUCAAAAUCAGUCAGUUUAAGCUACAGAUAUCAGUCUCAGUCCCCAUCAAAAUCAGUCAGUUUAAUCUACAGAUAUCAGUCUCAGUCCCCAUCAAAAUCAGUCAGUUUAAUCUACAGAUUUCAGUCUCAGUCCCCAUCAAAAUCAGUCAGUUUAAUCUACAGAUAUCAGUUUCAGUCCCCAUCAAAAUCAGUCAGUUUAAUCUACAGAUAUCAGUCUCAGUCCCCAUCAAAAUCAGUCAGUUUAAGCUACAGAUAUCAGUCUCAGUCCCCAUCAAAAUCAGUCAGUUUAAGCUACAGAUAUCAGUCUCAGUCCCCAUCAAAAUCAGUCUCAGUCCCCAUCAAAAUCAGUCAGUUUGAGCUACAGAUUUCAGUCUCAGUCCCCAUCAAAAUCAGUCAGUUUAAUCUACAGAUUUCAGUCUCAGUCCCCAUCAAAAUCAGUCAGUUUAAGCUACAGAUAUCAGUCUCAGUCCCCAUCAAAAUCAGUCAGUUUAAUCUACAGAUAUCAGUCUCAGUCCCCAUCAAAAUCAGUCAGUUUAAUCUACAGAUAUCAGUCUCAGUCCCCAUCAAAAUCAGUCAGUUUAAUCUACAGAUAUCAGUCUCAGUCCCCAUCAAAAUCAGUCAGUUUAAUCUACAGAUAUCAGUCUCAGUCCCCAUCAAAAUCAGUCAGUUUAAUCUACAUAUAUCAGUCUCAGUCCCCAUCAAAAUCAGUCAGUUUAAGCUACAGAUAUCAGUCUCAAUCCACAACAUCCACCUAUGUUGGCCUUCUGCAUCUGAGGUGGAAAGUGGCAGCGCUACAACUCUGUUUGUCAGACCAAAAAUCGCAUUUCUCAUAAAAUCAGUUUGGUCUACUAACUUUAUGGAAAGAUGGGACUCUCACAAACAGGAUGUUGUUCUCUGUUUUGCUCUACAACCCCCACAAGCCUCAUGGGACACGUCUGAAGUUGGUACCGACGAUGUGCCAACUUCGGUCUGUACCGUCCGAACCGUUCUGGCUACAAACUAA